Molecule: ribosomal RNA, 253 nt
Filed under: uncultured bacterium
Lineage: Bacteria
Description: partial 16S ribosomal RNA
Rfam family: Bacterial small subunit ribosomal RNA
Source: RNAcentral
UACGAAGGGUGCAAGCGUUAAUCGGAAUUACUGGGCGUAAAGCGUGCGUAGGCGGUUUCUUAAGUCCGUUGUGAAAGCCCUGGGCUCAACCUGGGAACUGCGAUGGAUACUGAGGAGCUGGAGUACGGUAGAGGAAGGUGGAAUUCCCGGUGUAGCGGUGAAAUGCGUAGAGAUCGGGAGGAACACCUGCGGCGAAGGCGGGUAGCUGGGCCGACACUGACGCUGAGACGCGAAAGCGUGGGGAGCAAACAGG